UCUAACAAGCCAGGAGACUUGGAGCCAGGGCAGGUCACAGACACAGGACACACACACACACACACACACACACACACUCCUCGUCCUUACGCAGGCAGCGUCACAUUCCAACUGUGGCAUUCCUGCUAAUUAGAACACAAAUUAAUGAUCCAAGCAAGUGAGACAGGCUGACUCUCCCUCCCUCUAGUCAACAUUUAGCCUUCCUCCCCAUUGCAUCUUCCUCUGCGUUGGCUUCUCAUUCUUAUUCCUCUUUUCCUUUUCUCUCUUUUAAAAAAAAUUAAUUUUCUCUUUGUCUCUUUUUGCGCUUUCUCCUCCUCCAAGACAGGUGAGAGAAACAUUCUGGGAAAGUUGUGUAAACACAACCUGUUUCUAAUUUAUCAAUUAAAAAAAGGCAUUAUAUGCAUACUCAGAUUUUGUUGUAAUAGGACUAUAUAGGCAGGCAAACUCAGUAUCUUCUUUUUUAUCUUUCUGAAAACUCACUUCUAUCUUAUGGAUUUUUCUUAACUUAUGGUAUUUGUUGUAAUUAUUUAAAUAUUUAAUCUUGUUCUGUUAUCUUAUGUUUUGGAUGUUCUUUUGUUGUUUUUUAAAAAAACCUUUAUUAUUUGUUUUUAUUGUAACUUUGUUUUGAAAGGUUCUAUAUAAAUAAAGUUAUUAUUAGGUACAAAAUCUGUCCAGGAGAUUCUGUAGAAGCUUUUACACGCUGAAAAUAAAGUCAUCAACUGCCAUUAAAAUAAAGCUUAUAAUCCAAAAAACUUUAACUUUUCAACGAAAAUUAGUCCAGUUUUAACAGACGGCUAGACAUCUUUUCUGCUGCUUCAACAACAAACUGAGACUUUGGUAAAAAACGGGAAGUGAAAGCCACAAGCCUCUCUUUCAUGAAAUCAAAUCUACUUUUAUAAAUAACCAUUAAAUUGUCAGCAUGCCGAUAAAGGACCGACUAGGGAAACCUGAUGACCGAAUGGUCUGCCUACAUGAGAGUGAAAUUAUCAGAGCAUAACUUGAAGAAACGAUGAAAAAUCAGGAAGAACUGUGAUACAUUCUGGGGCAAAGUCAGAGAAAACCACAACAACAACAAACUCAAUCUGGCAGUGCUCCUCAGCAGUCCAGGACACCUUGCCCACGAUGCAUCAGUGGAGGGCUGACCUUGAGUGCUAGGCAUUAAGGUCAGGAAACAUCAUUAGUCCUGCUUCCCCACUGCAAGGCUAAGAAUAGGAACAUGAACACAAUCACUCACUCAUCAUCUCCAUAUA
Molecule: long non-coding RNA, 1250 nt
Organism: Siniperca chuatsi (mandarin fish)
Lineage: Eukaryota; Metazoa; Chordata; Actinopteri; Centrarchiformes; Sinipercidae
Exons: 3
Source: RefSeq, a predicted model, not a curated record